CACUCUUAAUAAAAGACAUUCCCAUCUGUAUGAUCACACCCUCCCUCAGACCUUUUCAUCUGUUUUCUAGAAAGAUAAGGUCUGGUGAUGGAAAGUUAAAACGUGGUGCUGAACUUGGACAUUAGCAACACCACCAUUUACCUCAAAAAAAUUCUCCACAGUGGUGUGUGUGUGUGUGUGUGUGUGUGUGUGUGUGUGCACAGUUUGCAUUUGCAAUGAUGGAAAUCAGUUUGGAUCAUUGGGCAGAGUUUCCCCAGAAAGAAUAAGAGGCUCUUUUAGAAUGUUAAACCAGAUCCUUAUUGGUUUCAGCCCUCAACUGAUUAUUUUGUAGGUAAAAGAAAGCCUGAGGAGGCUUUCCCCUCUGAGUUUUUCCGUGGAUUGCUGGACUCUGAGGCCCUCAUUCCUCUUGCAGGAGGUGUGCAGCAAAACUGUGUUGAAUGAACUGUAGAUGGAAAUUCUCUCCUUCCCACCGAGGAGCCGCUGCAGGUUGCAGACUCCCAGAAUGCCACACUGAGAAGAGGAGGGCUAAAAUUCUAGAGCAGAAUCCCUGGGGCAGCCCCUGCUGAAGAAGGGUGCAUCUGUUGAGAAUCUCAUCACCGCCCCCACCCCGCCCAGCCUUCAAUUUAGAGGAAUUUCUAGUUCACGCAGAAUGAAGACAAGAUCACAUAAGGGCCUCAGAGUAUGUCAGCUGGGGUCAGACGGGAACAGGAGUCUGGCUCAACACACAUUUAUUGCACUCCUGCUUCAUGCCAAGAAAUGCACCAAAAUCUGGGACUGUGUAACACAGCAAAGGAAAAG
Molecule: long non-coding RNA, 798 nt
Filed under: Pan troglodytes (chimpanzee)
Lineage: Eukaryota; Metazoa; Chordata; Mammalia; Primates; Hominidae
Description: lincRNA
Source: RNAcentral